GCACUGCUGAGGAGUCCCACAAUAGGACGGAACGGCAGUCCGGUGC
RNAcentral lists this non-coding RNA (46 nucleotides) under Schistosoma margrebowiei. The record is from RNAcentral. Lineage: Eukaryota; Metazoa; Platyhelminthes; Trematoda; Strigeidida; Schistosomatidae.